ANUCNAGCGGUACAGAAAGUAGCUUGCUACUUUGCUGACGAGCGGCGGACGGGUGAGUAAUGCUUGGGAACAUGCCUUGAGGUGGGGGACAACAGUUGGAAACGACUGCUAAUACCGCAUAAUGUCUACGGACCAAAGGGGGCUUCGGCUCUCGCCUUUAGAUUGGCCCAAGUGGGAUUAGCUAGUUGGUGAGGUAAUGGCUCACCAAGGCGACGAUCCCUAGCUGGUUUGAGAGGAUGAUCAGCCACACUGGGACUGAGACACGGCCCAGACUCCUACGGGAGGCAGCAGUGGGGAAUAUUGCACAAUGGGCGCAAGCCUGAUGCAGCCAUGCCGCGUGUGUGAAGAAGGCCUUCGGGUUGUAAAGCACUUUCAGUCAGGAGGAAAGGUUAACGGUUAAUACCCGUUAGCUGUGACGUUACUGACAGAAGAAGCACCGGCUAACUCCGUGCCAGCAGCCGCGGUAAUACGGAGGGUGCGAGCGUUAAUCGGAAUUACUGGGCGUAAAGCGUACGCAGGCGGUUUGUUAAGCGAGAUGUGAAAGCCCCGGGCUCAACCUGGGAACUGCAUUUCGAACUGGCAAACUAGAGUGUGAUAGAGGGUGGUAGAAUUUCAGGUGUAGCGGUGAAAUGCGUAGAGAUCUGAAGGAAUACCGAUGGCGAAGGCAGCCACCUGGGUCAACACUGACGCUCAUGUACGAAAGCGUGGGGAGCAAACNGGAUUAGAUACCCNGGUAGUCCACGCCGUAAACGAUGUCUACUAGAAGCUCGGANCCUCGGUUCUGUUUUUCAAAGCUAACGCAUUAAGUAGACCGCCUGGGGAGUACGGCCGCAAGGUUAAAACUCAAAUGAAUUGACNGGGGCCCGCACAANCGGUGGANCAUGUGGUUUAAUUCGAUGCAACGCGAAGAACCUUACCUACACUUGACAUACAGAGAACUUACCAAAGAUGGUUUGGGUGCCUUCNGGAACUCUGAUACAGGUGCUGCAUGGCUGUCGUCANCUCGUGUUGUGANA
RNAcentral lists this ribosomal RNA (1016 nucleotides) under Pseudoalteromonas sp. Its description in RNAcentral is "bacterial SSU rRNA". It matches the Rfam family "Bacterial small subunit ribosomal RNA", at positions 60 to 1072 of the family's 1533-position model. Lineage: Bacteria; Pseudomonadati; Pseudomonadota; Gammaproteobacteria; Alteromonadales; Pseudoalteromonadaceae. The record is from RNAcentral.